UCCCUGGUAGUCUGGUGGUUAAGACUUUGCCUUCCAGUGCAGGGGGUGGAGGUUCGAUCCCUGCUCAGGGAG
RNAcentral lists this transfer RNA (72 nucleotides) under Bos taurus (domestic cattle). It matches the Rfam family "tRNA". Rfam says of the family: Transfer RNA (tRNA) molecules are approximately 80 nucleotides in length. Their secondary structure includes four short double-helical elements and three loops (D, anti-codon, and T loops). RNAcentral also lists the same sequence under 4 other names. The record is from Rfam by way of RNAcentral. Lineage: Eukaryota; Metazoa; Chordata; Mammalia; Artiodactyla; Bovidae.